GAGCGACUCGUGGGCGUCAAGACUGGGCUGAGUUUGUGGCGCGCUUAGUGAUGGGAGGGCGCUGUGCAGGACGCCGACACGAAAAGAUGAAGAGUUCAAUCCGUGCUGUCUGAACUCACAGUGUAGCGGGCGAGAUAGACGGGAAGAUCGGUAGGGUGGGAGAUGCCGGAAAGGCUUCCCGUGAAACUGGAUAAGAAAUCAAAAAUCUGGUGAAAUUGCCGGCAGGAGGGAGUUAAGGACAUUCCAGGCAGAGGCAAGCUAUUUGACAGACCAUAUGCUCUAUUGAACUUUGCCACUGCAUCACAACUAGACCCUGAACAGGAUGGAUUUCUGGACUUCUGAAAGUUGGUCCUUGCUGGCUGAUCCAGCUUCCCCGUCAGCAUAUGGUGAGCAGUUCGGUGAGAGGACCACACUUCCAAUACUGGCAGUCCAGAUUCCUAAGAUGAGGACACAGCAUCCUGGGCCACUGUCACUAAUACAAAUUUGCCUCUGGAGGGACUCUACGGAAGAUAAUUCCCCUGAAAUUUGGAGAGUUGAAUUAAGCUAGGACUGAUUCUGGCUGGAAUUUGUGGUGGCUACGUACCCUAGAGGGCCUCAAGGAAACCCACGGUUCAAGACAACCCUGACAGAUUCUGGAGUCUAGAACAGAAAUGGAUUUGAACAUGGGCAAGGCCAACCACCCAGUUCACGGCCUGUGUACAGCAAAGAUUACAUUACAGCCUGAGAGCUAAGCCUGGAAGCUCUUUCAUCCAUCCGUUUGUCCAUCUAUCCAUCCAUCUGCUCAUCCAUCCCUCCAUCUGCUCAACAAAUGUUAGAGAAUCAAUCCUUGUGUCAGAUACUGGGGCUGCCCUCAAGGAGCUUUUGUAGAGUUCAGGGUACAGCCAGGUGGGGGAGACAGAUCACUAUAAAAACCUACCACUAUAAUCCAAAGGACAAGAGCAAAAAUAGUAAAGAGGAGAGAAGACCCAAAUUUGCCUGGUGGGUCAGAGACGGCUUUCUAGAAGAGGUAAAAAAUCUUCGGGGCUAUCACUUCACCUUGCCUGGUGGAUAAAGGGAGGACUUUCCAGAUACAGUGGACAGAAUGUGCAGAGGCAGGAGCCAUGAGUGGCAGAGGCAGGGGAGGGACUGCAGAGACAGGUUGGAGCCAAAGCACGAUGGCACUGGAGCCAUAGCCAAAGGAACAAACUGUGAGACCUGGGACUUGAAUUUGGAGGUGGUGAAAAGUGACAAGGUCUUCACAGAAGAGUGAUUUUUUCAACUUAGGGAAGGCUGACCCCAGACCAAUGCUGCCAAAGUGUGGUCUGUGGGCUGUUAGCAGUUCAUGACGAUGUAAGUACAGGAAUUGAGAGUAAGCAUUUAGAACACCUACAGCACUGUGAUAGUCAUUUUACUUUUUAAAUUUUGAGCUGGCAUUUUGUAUGCCUGUUUUUUUUUUUUUUUUUUUUUGAGACAGUCUCGCUCUGUCGCCCAGGCUGGAGUGCAGUGGCACGAUCUCUGCUCACUGCAAGCUCCACCUCCCGGGUUCACGCCAUUCUCCUGCCUCAUCCUCCCAAGUAGCUGGGACUGCAGGCGCCUGCCACCUCGCCCAGCUAAUUUUUUGUAUUUUUAAUAGAGACGGGGUUUCACCAUGUUAGCCAGGAUGGUCUCAAUCUCCUGAUCUCGUGAUCUGCCCGCCUUGGCCUCCCAAAAUGCUGGGAUUACAGGUGUGAGCCACCACGCCCAGCCUUAUUCUAUUUUUCUAAUAGUUGCACUUUAUCAUAUUUUACAAAUGUGUGAGUCUGCUAUGGAUUAGAAAUUAAUAAGAGAUUUUGCCACAGAUAGUUUGAGAAGCCCAGCACUGCCACUCAACAAAUGCUGGUGCAUUCAGAUGGUGAAAUAUUCUGCAGCUAUUAAAGGAGUUAAAACUGCCUCCACUUACCUGGAGGCCCAUCUGUGACAUCUUUUUAGGGUAAAAGGAAAAGAAAAACUUGCUUAGGACUGAAUAUGAGUGGUUGCAAUUUGUAACAAUGAUGUAUAUAUACAUAUACAUUUUCAUAUAUUUGUAUGAACAUAAAAGUAUUGAAGGAUAUUCAUCAAACUGCUAAAAGGGUUGCUUCAGAGUAACAGACUUGGAGAAGGCAGAUUAAUUUUCUCUUAAUGGAACUCUGUAUUGUAUCACUUGUAAAAAUAAGCAUGUGUUAUCUUUAUGAUAAAAAAGUAAAAACCUAAAAAAG
Molecule: non-coding RNA, 2213 nt
Filed under: Pan troglodytes (chimpanzee)
Lineage: Eukaryota; Metazoa; Chordata; Mammalia; Primates; Hominidae
Source: RNAcentral